GUCACGGUGGUCUAGCGGUUAGAACGCUGGACUUGUAAUCCUGGGGUCUCGGCUUCGAUUCCCGGCGGUGCCC
This is a non-coding RNA of Zootermopsis nevadensis, 73 nucleotides long. The record is from Rfam. Lineage: Eukaryota; Metazoa; Arthropoda; Insecta; Blattodea; Termopsidae.